UUUGCAAAAAGGACCCUAGCUCCGCAGCGCCCCGCCCCCUCCUCCCCUCGCCGCCGUCCGUUUGCGUCCUCUGGGCAAAGCCCCCGCGUGGAUUUGGCGGCGACGAGGCCUCUGGCGCGCUGCAGCGGCUCAGCUGCGAGGAGGCAAGCGGGGCUGCGUGCGGUCGUCCUCCCGUGCUCGCGCCCUCCCGUGCUCGCGCACGACACAGAGGCCAUUGCGGUGGCGAACUUGGUGGGGAAGGCGACCUCCGGUGAGGGGCGGCGGAUCCGGGCGCUAGAUGGCCAGAACGGGUGGAUUCGGGGGAAAUCCGGCCGGAUCCGGUCGUCGAGGUGCUCCGGCGGCGGACUAGGGGCAAGCACGGGGUGGCUUGGCAUCGGGUGGAGCCCCAUGGCCAUCCAUGGCAGACAGAGAGAGGUUAGAGAGAUAAGAGGAAGGGGAAGCAGAGGGAAAACGAGGCAGGGCGGCGGCGCUCGCCGGCACGGUUGCUGGUGGACAGACUGCGAUGAGGCAGGGAGACGUGGGCGCCAGGCGGUGAUGCGGCCGCUCGGGGGCUCGAGUGGCGCGGCUGCUCCAUACAAAAUGGCGGUGGCGGCCAGAGUGCAGGGGCAGGGGAGGCGGAUCCGGAGGUGGGAGGCGAGGCGGGGUUCACCGAUGACGACGAGGAAGGCCGGAGCACGGCUUCUCGGCCAGAUCCAUGGCUCAUGAGCAGAAAGGAGACAGGGAGGUGAAGAAGAGAAAAAGGGAGAAGGGAGGGGCAGUGUGGUGACAAGGCAGGUGCUCGCCGGACCCGAUCGACGGCGGACGGGCGCCGGAGACGGAGGGAUCUGGCACGGCGGAAGUGAAAGGCGGCAACUCCGCCGGCCUGUCUGGCGACACCAACCAGGCCACGAAUGGCGCAGCACAGUUGUCACAGCCACUCCAGCGAGUACGAAUGAGGACUUGACCACGAAGUCUACAACGCCAUGUUUUCCUCACAUUCAUAGUUUAGCUCUUUAGUGAGGAAUCUCAUGCAAUCUUCUGAUAUUUGACAGUAAUUGGUGUCGGUACAGAAUGGGGAGCAGUUCUCGCUUUGGACAUUUUUAGGAUGUUGUUUGGCAGCAUGUUUUUAAGAAAUGCAUAUACAGUAAAGCUCACAAAGGCCAGCUAAUAUGCUUGCAUCUUUGCCAUGAAAUUACAGUAUGACAUGUUGUUCAAAAUAUUUUCGCUCCAUGAGGAGAAAGCUAAAUCCAGUUACAACAUGUUAGUGGAGUUCACAACCUGUAUCUUUGAGUGGUGCAAUGGGCUGCCUAGAUGCUGCCCUAAGGAUGAGCGGGUCAAGGUGCUGGACUGGAAGCACGGGGAGGAGGAUAAUUCCGUCAGGUACAACAGAGCCGUCGACUAAAGAAUUAACCGAACCAAUCGCUUUAUUUGAAGCUCUGAUUGUAGUUAUUUUUUUGUUCAUUAUUUUUUUAUCUUAAUAUGGGAGGAUUAUCACUGUAUAAUCUGAGAUCCUGACACAUCAACAUUUUAGCAUUGAUAAAUGUGUCACUUUGACUGGGUCUAUUAGGCAGUACUUGUAAGGUCUAUAAUUCUAAGUUCGACCUUUAAUUGGUAA
Molecule: long non-coding RNA, 1594 nt
Organism: Triticum aestivum (bread wheat)
Lineage: Eukaryota; Viridiplantae; Streptophyta; Magnoliopsida; Poales; Poaceae
Exons: 2
Source: RefSeq, a predicted model, not a curated record